This 699-nucleotide ribosomal RNA is filed under the name Voyriella parviflora. RNAcentral's name for it is "eukaryotic LSU rRNA". The stretch from base 265 to 420 matches the Rfam family "5.8S ribosomal RNA". The record is from RNAcentral. Lineage: Eukaryota; Viridiplantae; Streptophyta; Magnoliopsida; Gentianales; Gentianaceae.
CGUAGGUGAACCUGCGGAAGGAUCAUUGUCGAAUCCGUAAAACAGACGACCGGCGAACUCGUUCAACUUACGGGCGUCGGGAAGGAGCUUGCUUCAGAACGACGUCCCGGUGUGUGCCCGUGCCUGCAGGCAGGGGCAGUGCCCAAUACUAAAUCCCAGCGCGGAAAGCGCCAAGGAUGACUGAAAACAUGUGACGGUCGUCCCCCUUGCCGGCCCGUCUACGGGUGUGGGUAGGGGUGGCCGAUCGUUUGUCGUAACAAAAACGACUCUCGGCAACGGAUAUCUCGGCUCUUGCAUCGAUGAAGAACGUAGCAAACUGCGAUACUUGGUGUGAAUUGCAGAAUCCCGUGAACCAUCGAGUCUUUGAACGCAAGUUGCGCCCGAAGCCAUUAGGCCAAGGGCACGUCUGCCUGGGCGUCACGCAUCGCGUCGCCCCCACCUAUCACCCCUCAUCCGCAUCUCGGAUGAGGGAUGAUGCUGCUGGGGCGUAGAUUGGCUUCCCGUGCUCAUGUGCGGCUGGCCCAAACCUCGGUCCGUCGAUAUGGACGCAACGACGUUUGGUGGUUGAAUUUCUCAACUCGAGAGCUGUCGUGCGGCGUCCUAUUCCGAGUCGAGACUCUAAUGACCCUGUCGCAAUGCUUUGCAACGACCGCGACCCCAGGUCAGGCGGGACUACCUGCUGAGUUUAAGCAUAUCAAU